Molecule: unclassified non-coding RNA, 292 nt
Filed under: uncultured Ascomycota
Lineage: Eukaryota; Fungi; Ascomycota
Description: sequence contains ITS1
Rfam family: 5.8S ribosomal RNA (bases 1-105)
Source: RNAcentral
GAAAUGCGAUAAGUAAUGUGAAUUGCAGAAUUCAGUGAAUCAUCGAAUCUUUGAACGCACAUUGCGCCCCCUGGUAUUCCGGGGGGCAUGCCUGUUCGAGCGUCAUUAUGACCAAUCCCGCAAGGGGUCUUGGGGUCCGCAGUUCGCUGCGGCCCUUAAAAUCAGUGGCGGUGCCAGUGGUGCUCCCAGCGUAGUAAUAUUCCUCGCUCGGGAACUACGGUGGACUCGCUAAUAAACUUAAUUUUUUUAAAAGGUUGACCUCGGAUCAGGUAGGGAUACCCGCUGAACUUAA